UGUAAGAACCCAAAACAAAAUAUCAAAAAGAAAGAAAAUAUCUUAAAAAGGUAAGGAAAAUAUCUUUUAGCGAAAUGACCAAAUUGCCCUCGCAUAUUUUAUUAGGGGAAAAUUUGACUUUUUAAUCGAGAAAGAAUUUGGGAAUUUCGCUUACGCCAUUGCGUAGAGCGCGGCGAAAGGAGUUCGUAGACACGGAGUAGACCCGAAUCGGAGCCGUAACGAAGAAGUUAUGGUCUAAAAACCGCGAAGGGCAAAAUGGUAAUUUGGCCAAAAAGUCAGAUUUUAUACCCUCUCUCUCUUCUCCCCGUCACUUUCUCUCUCCUCCCUCUCUCUCCUUCGCGCGAUUUGGGUCGUGCGACCCUUCGCCUUCCAAGGGACGGCCCGGCCACCACAGGCCGAGCCGAUCUCCGCCGUGGGUACCUACGGGUCCGCCUUCGUGUCGCCGUCACAACCUGACCGACCUCAACCCCGGGGCCGCCCUGAGCUGGCCGGAAAAUUAUGUUUUCCGGCGGAGGUUCCUCCGAAGCUACCCAAACUUCCAGCUCGAAAUUCUCCUUCGUUUCUCCACCAAAUCGAUCGAGUAAGG
RNAcentral lists this long non-coding RNA (586 nucleotides) under Prunus dulcis (almond). RNAcentral's name for it is "sRNA ncRNA". The record is from RNAcentral. Lineage: Eukaryota; Viridiplantae; Streptophyta; Magnoliopsida; Rosales; Rosaceae.